GACGAAGGAUGCAAGCGUUAUCCGGAUUCAUUGGGUUUAAAGGGUGCGUAGGCGGUCUUGUAAGUCAGUGGUGAAAUCUCGCAGCUUAACUGCGAAACUGCCAUUGAUACUGCAGGACUUGAGUACAGAUGCUGUGGGCGGAAUAUGACAUGUAGUGGUGAAAUACAUAGAGAUGUCAUAGAACACCGAUUGCGAAGGCAGC
RNAcentral lists this ribosomal RNA (202 nucleotides) under uncultured prokaryote. RNAcentral describes it as "partial 16S ribosomal RNA". It matches the Rfam family "Bacterial small subunit ribosomal RNA", at positions 524 to 725 of the family's 1533-position model. The record is from RNAcentral.